UAGUCAAUGCUCGCAAGAGUGAACUAGCUAACUGAAAUCAAAGAGUUUAUUUAAACUCAUGAUGUCGUAAGGGAAAAUAAUGAUAAUACCUUACUAUUAGUGUCGUCCAAAUCUGGUGCCAGAAGACUCGGUAAGACCAGAGACGCAAACGUUAAUCAUCAUAAUCAGGCGUAAAGGGUUUGUAGGCAGCUCUCAAUUAAUUAAGAGCUAGAAUCAAAAAGAGGUUAUAGUGUAUAACGCCUAGAGGAGGGCUGAUAUCCAUAGAUCCUAGGCAGAAUACUCAGGGCGAAGGCCACUCUCCACUAAGAUUGACGCUGAGAAACGAAGGUUAGGGUAGGAAAUAGGAUUAGAUACCCCGGUACUCCUUUCUGUAAACGAUGAAUGGUAGUCAUUAGUUUUUUUACUAGAGACGAAGUUAACACAAUAACCAUUCCGCCUUGUGAGUACUACUGCAAAGUAGAAAACAAAAAAAUUAGUCGGUCUCGAAGCAAACGGAGUGAAGCAUGUUAUUUAAU
This 515-nucleotide ribosomal RNA is filed under the name Neofavolus mikawae. RNAcentral describes it as "Neofavolus mikawai partial small subunit ribosomal RNA". It matches the Rfam family "Bacterial small subunit ribosomal RNA", at positions 365 to 950 of the family's 1533-position model. The record is from RNAcentral. Lineage: Eukaryota; Fungi; Basidiomycota; Agaricomycetes; Polyporales; Polyporaceae.